This 329-nucleotide ribosomal RNA is filed under the name uncultured eukaryote. Its description in RNAcentral is "partial 18S ribosomal RNA". It matches the Rfam family "Eukaryotic small subunit ribosomal RNA", at positions 1470 to 1796 of the family's 1831-position model. The record is from RNAcentral.
CCCUUAGAUGUCCUGGGCCGCACGCGCGCUACACUGAGUGUCUGAGAUACGAGUCUGCCUGGUCCGGCAAGGUCUAGAUAAUCGCUAAAAGACACAUCAUGCUUGGGAUAGAUUAUUGCAAAUAUUAAUCUUGAACGAGGAAUUCCUAGUAAGCGCAAGUCAACAGCUUGCGUUGAUUACGUCCCUGCCCUUUGUACACACCGCCCGUCGCUACUACUGAUUGGAUGUUUAAGCGAGGUUCUCGAACUGCUAGCGACUUAGCUUCGGUGAGGUCGCAGUGUGGGAAGUGAACCUAGCUUUGGUGUCUAGAGGAAGUAAAAGUCGUAACA